CCUACGGGUGGCUGCAGUGGGGAAUUUUGGACAAUGGGCGCAAGCCUGAUCCAGCCAUUCCGCGUGAGUGAAGAAGGCCUUCGGGUUGUAAAGCUCUUUCGCAAGGGAAGAAACCUUAUCCUCUAACAUAGGAUGAGGUUGACGGUACCUUGAUAAGAAGAACCGGCUAACUACGUGCCAGCAGCCGCGGUAAUACGUAGGGUGCGAGCGUUAAUCGGAAUUGCGCGGCGUAUUUUGUAAGUCAGAUGUGAAAUCCCCGAGCUCAACUUGGGAACUGCGUUUGAAACUACAAGACUAGAAUAGGUCAGAGGGGGGUAGAAUUCCACGUGUAGCAGUGAAAUGCGUAGAGAUGUGGAGGAAUAUCAAUGGCGAAGGCAGCCCCCUGGGAUCAUAUUGACGCUCAUGCACGAAAGCGUGGGGAGCAAACAGGAUUAGAUACCCGAGUAGUC
Molecule: ribosomal RNA, 449 nt
Filed under: uncultured bacterium
Lineage: Bacteria
Description: partial 16S ribosomal RNA
Rfam family: Bacterial small subunit ribosomal RNA
Source: RNAcentral